AGCUUGUGUAUUGCUCAUAUGCUAAGAGCAUAGGGAUAUUUUAAACAGGAGUCCUUACGUUAGUGUUCACUACCCGGGACAAAGCUGUUUGGCUUCCUCCACUGAAAUUGCUCCUUAGACCAAGCUAGCCUGUUAGUCCCCUCGAUGGCUUUAAUGCUUAGCCGGGUUCCAGCAAACAUCAGGGCAGGCCCAUUGAGGUUGGGUAAAUGACCAAGCUCUUAUUUUAUCUAUGGAGUAAGUAGAAAUGGGUGGCCAUUUAUAGAGGUUCUCAAUAUCAAUUAACCCUUGGAACUGUAAACAAGUAAAUACCUUAAUGGUAGGAAAUGACUUAGGGAAUUUUUCACAUGAGUUGGCAAGGAAAAUAAAACUUCUGUUUCCUAAGUACUAAAGGCUUAGUACUUAGCAAGAGGAACCCUUAGUCACUAGAACAAGCUAAACUGGGGUCAAUUUAUCUGAAAACAAGGUCAGCAUCAAGCAUAAAUAAGUUCCAGGGAAAGACUAGAAGUCAAUUCAGCACCCGGACAUGCAAAUAGGAAGUGGCAUUGUCCAAAGAGCCUUGCGAACUCCUUCUCCAGGGAGUACAGAAUAGAGGACACAUGGCUCCCCAAAGCCAGUUCUGCCACAGCUCUUCCUCAUAGCAGUGGGAGAUUCCAUGAUCCAUCCGAGGCGAACUAAGACUAAUGGUCUCUAAGAGGAUAAAGGCUAAGAACUUCUGUAUCUGAUACCCAUUGCGCUUUGGAGUUGCUUCUUGCUAUUCCUUUUGGUAAGGAAUCACCCACUGCACUUGAAUAAAGCUGACUUAUGGUUGUCUUGGUAAAGGAGUGAAUGAAAGUGUGGGGAGAGAGGACCUGGUAAAGUGUGGAUUCCAGGACAGACUCUAAGAAACUGAUACAAGAAAGCUGACCUUCCUCUUACUCAUGCCUGAUCUUGGUGUCUCUGCCUAGGAAUGUUUUUGUCUGUCCCUAGCUACAGCACAAGUCAAGAGCCCCAGGAUGCAGCCUGAACCAGCCAUAAGUAGUAUGGAGAUAGAACCUGAUUCCCAAUAUCCUUGGCCAUACUACAUGCACAGUGUCACAGAAAGUGGACCCUUGCAUGGCACCACAGAAGCUACCCAGUUUUUAGAAAACUACCUUUUAUCCUCACAAUGUGGUAAAGUAAAUGUUGCUUGUAUAUUUUUAUAAGAACAGGAAGGUUGCUUUAUGAGUACAGCAUCUCCCUCAUGCUGACUUAGUCAGUUGUCCGAUAAAAUAAGUUAUCCUCCACCUUGUUUAAAUUUAAAUCUUCUGCCCCGAGAGCCUGGUUUGCUCUUGGCCCUAUUUGUAAGGGCAAAGUAAGGACAGCCCUUAUUUUGAGCUUAUCUGUUAGAUAGAAGGUAGACGGAAAUGAUGGAAUGGGGUGAAGGGAAUCCUGUAGAUAGGCUAAGUCCCGUUUGUUGUUAUAUACAUCUUGCUGGUCUGUUGUAAAACUCUGGCCAUUGCCUUUAGUAGAAAACAUCAAUUUAAAAACUAACACAGUGUCUUACCCAACAGAUGGCCAUUGAUCAAUCAGGAACUGUGAGUAUUCUCAAAGAGCAGUUAGAUAAUAAGUAACCAGCUAAACUAUCCUGGCAGCUAUGUCUAUCACCCACUAAUCAGAAUGCCCCAAGUGGGUAACUGUCCUCAGCUGCAGAGGAGUUACUCCAGAUAUAUCACAAACUAAAACAGGAUAUUUUCCUAUACAUGAGCACAGAUAAGGGUCUGCAUCCUCUUCUCCCUCACCCUCUGCCUCAGCCCACACCUUUUGUGCUUUUCUAGAUUAGAAGAAAAAUAAACUUAAAAGGACUAACAGGUACAUUAAGACUCAGAAGGGAAGAGGGUCACAUUACCUCAUGAAUAUGCUACCAAUCCCCAAAACACUCCUAAGGCUUGUUAAAUUUAAUUCCCCAGUGCCACAGGUAUAAUCCUUUCAAAGAUCAUGACAGGGGCUCCUGUUGUCUUAUUUUAAAGACCCUAAUCACUGCAAAGCUAUUUGCUAGGCUCCGGUCCUCAGAGCAGGAGCAGUAGGCAGGGCUAUGUGCAUCAGAGUGACUCCUAAGGCUUCAAGAGAAAUAUAGAUCAUCUACUGACACAUGGCUUUUCUUUUAUACUCAUUUCAAUAUUUUCAAAUAAAAAUUAAAAAGCAAA
This 2162-nucleotide long non-coding RNA is filed under the name Mus musculus (house mouse). RNAcentral's name for it is "long non-coding RNA Prep+96kb 2.2kb variant". Lineage: Eukaryota; Metazoa; Chordata; Mammalia; Rodentia; Muridae. The record is from RNAcentral.